This 442-nucleotide ribosomal RNA is filed under the name uncultured bacterium. RNAcentral's name for it is "partial 16S ribosomal RNA". It matches the Rfam family "Bacterial small subunit ribosomal RNA", at positions 338 to 795 of the family's 1533-position model. The record is from RNAcentral.
CCUACGGGUGGCAGCAGUGGCGGAUAUUGCACAAUGGGGGAAACCCUGAUGCAGCGACGCCGCGUGGGCGAAGAAGUAUUUCGGUAUGUAAAGCCCUAUCAGCAGGGAAGAAGAAAUGACGGUACCUGAGUAAGAAGCACCGGCUAAAUACGUGCCAGCAGCCGCGGUAAUACGUAUGGUGCAAGCGUUAUCCGGAUUUACUGGGUGUAAAGGGAGCGCAGGCGGCACGGCAAGCCUGAUGUGAAAGCCCGCGGCCCAACCGCGGGACUGCAUUGGGAACUACCGGGCUGGAGUGCCGGAGAGGUAGGCGGAAUUCCUAGUGUAGCGGUGAAAUGCGUAGAUAUUAGGAGGAACACCAGUGGCGAAGGCAGCUUACUAAACUGUGACUGACAUUGAUGCUCGAAAGUGUGGGUAUCAAACAGGAUUAGAUACCCCUGUAGUC